UCCACCUCCCCUCCCCCACCCCCUUUCCCCCUCCCAUCCCCUCCACCUGUCCUCCACCUCCCCUCCACCUGUCCUGAGGUAUUAAAUGCAGUGCAAAGGACAGUCAGCGUCAGACGCACCAUAGAGAGAGACCUCGCAAGGCUAGCGCAAGAUGAACAUCCAACGAGCAACACUGAUAUUUGCAAUCUUCGCCUUAAUAGUCGGCGUUGCAAUGGCCGUACCCUUCGGCUGGUAUCGGAAACCAUUCGGCUUCGUCAGUAGAUUCGAUCGAAGGAGAUCACUGGGCAUCUGGAGUCCCCACAUCGACGACCGUUACUGGCAUGGAUUCGACAUCGAUGGUUAUACAAGGAAUGGAUGAGAAUUAAGUGAGUUUGGACCAAGAUUGGCUGAUAUGCCUCGCUUCGCUAAACCCUUUAGAUGUAAUUUUGCUAUUACUGUUUUCAUUAUUGUGUUAUUGCAGACUAAGAUAGGGUAACCUGCCCUAUCGUUAGAUAAAAUAUGCAAAUUUUAUCUACAUUUGUGGCUAGCUUUAAUUCUAACUUAAUUUCACUUAUAUGUGAAAAUGCACAUCCUGAAUGUAAACCAAUUAUGAAAUUCUCAAAGGUAUUGGGGAUUUCAUAGUUAUUCAUACCUUUUUCAUAUCAAUUUCAUACCUAUUCAUGUACUGUAUGAAUGUGAUCAAUGGCAUUAUUUUGUAUUACUUUUAUAGUGACAUGUGAUACUCUGUGAGUGAUAAUCUUGAAAUAAAUAAAUCUUAAAAAAAACAUG
Penaeus chinensis is the source of this 768-nucleotide long non-coding RNA. RefSeq lists it as uncharacterized. Lineage: Eukaryota; Metazoa; Arthropoda; Malacostraca; Decapoda; Penaeidae. The transcript is spliced from 4 exons. The record is from RefSeq and is a predicted model, not a curated record.